GACGAACGCUGGCGGCGUGCCUAACACAUGCAAGUCGAACGGAAAGGCGCUGCUUUUGUGGGGUGCUCGAGUGCCGAAGGGGUGAGUAUAACGCGAGUAACCUGUCCUUAUCAUUGGGAUAUCAUCUGGGAACAGGGGCUCUAAUAGGAUAGGAGCUACUGAUGCGUGUUGGGGGUUGGAAAGUUUCGGCGGUUCGGGAUGGACUCGCGGCUUAUCAGCUUGUUGGUGAAGUAGUGGAUUACCAAGGCUUUGAAGGGUAGCCGGCCUGAGAGGGUGACCGGCCUCAUUGGGACUAAGAGACGGCGCAGACUCCUACGUGAUGCAGCAGGCGGGAGUAUUGCACAAUGAACGCGAGUCUGAGGUAGCAACGCCGGGUGCGGGAUAACGGACUUCGAGUUGUGAACCGCUUUGGCAUGUGACGAGGCGUGAUUGACGGUAAUGGGUAAGGAGGCCCCGGCUAACUACGUG
Molecule: ribosomal RNA, 468 nt
Filed under: uncultured bacterium
Lineage: Bacteria
Description: partial 16S ribosomal RNA
Rfam family: Bacterial small subunit ribosomal RNA
Source: RNAcentral